RNAcentral lists this non-coding RNA (28 nucleotides) under Rattus norvegicus (Norway rat). The record is from RNAcentral. Lineage: Eukaryota; Metazoa; Chordata; Mammalia; Rodentia; Muridae.
UAAAGCAUUAAGGCCGGCGAAUGUCAGA